This 2472-nucleotide ribosomal RNA is filed under the name human oral metagenome. Its description in RNAcentral is "bacterial LSU rRNA". It matches the Rfam family "Bacterial large subunit ribosomal RNA", at positions 14 to 2523 of the family's 2925-position model. The record is from RNAcentral.
AGCGUACAAGGUGGAUGCCUUGGCAAUCAGAGGCGAAGAAGGACGUGCUAAUCUGCGAAAAGCUUGGAUGAGUCGAUAAGAGACGUUUAAUCCAAGAUGUCCGAAUGGGGAAACCCAGUAGAUGAAGAAUCUACUAUCACUUACUGAAUUCAUAGGUAAGUGAGGCGAACCGGGAGAACUGAAACAUCUAAGUACCCCGAGGAAAAGAAAUCAACCGAGAUUUUGUGAGUAGCGGCGAGCGAAAGCGAAAGAGCCUGUUAGUGAUAGCGACAGAGACAGAGGAACAAGCUGGGAAGCUUGGCGACACAGGGUGAUAGCCCCGUACUCGAAGUCCAGGUCGUGGUACUAAGCUAACGAGAAGUAGGGCGGGACACGUGAUAUCCUGUUUGAAGAUGGGGGGACCAUCCUCCAAGGCUAAAUACUCCUGAUUGACCGAUAGUGAACCAGUACUGUGAAGGAAAGGCGAAAAGAACCCCGGUGAGGGGAGUGAAAUAGAACCUGAAACCUUGUACGUACAAGCAGUGGGAGCCCGCAAGGGUGACUGCGUACCUUUUGUAUAAUGGGUCAGCGACUUAUAUUUUGUAGCGAGGUUAACCGAAUAGGGGAGCCGAAGGGAAACCGAGUCUUAACUGGGCGUUGAGUUGCAAGGUAUAGACCCGAAACCCGGUGAUCUAGCCAUGGGCAGGUUGAAGGUUGGGUAACACUAACUGGAGGACCGAACCGACUAAUGUUGAAAAAUUAGCGGAUGACUUGUGGCUGGGGGUGAAAGGCCAAUCAAACCGGGAGAUAGCUGGUUCUCCCCGAAAUCUAUUUAGGUAGAGCCUUGAGCGGACACCUUCGGGGGUAGAGCACUGUUUCGGCUAGGGGUCCAUCCCGGAUUACCAACCCGAUGCAAACUACGAAUACCGAAGAGUGAUACUCAGGAGACACACGGCGGGUGCUAACGUCCGUCGUGGAGAGGGAAACAACCCAGACCGCCAGCUAAGGUCCCAAAGUCUAUAUUAAGUGGGAAACGAAGUGGGAAGGCUUAGACAGCUAGGAUGUUGGCUUAGAAGCAGCCAUCAUUUAAAGAAAGCGUAAUAGCUCACUAGUCGAGUCGGCCUGCGCGGAAGAUGUAACGGGGCUCAAAUAUAGCACCGAAGCUGCGGCAUCAGACGAAAGUCUGUUGGGUAGGGGAGCGUUGUGUAAGCGGAUGAAGAUGGUUCGAGAGGGCUGUUGGACGUAUCACAAGUGCGAAUGCUGACAUAAGUAACGAUAAAACGGGUGAAAAACCCGUUCGCCGGAAGACCAAGGGUUCCUGUCCAACGUUAAUCGGGGCAGGGUGAGUCGGCCCCUAAGGCGAGGCUGAAAAGCGUAGUCGAUGGGAAACGGGUUAAUAUUCCCGUACUUGGUAAAGCUGCGAUGUGGGGACGGAGCAGGUUAGGUUAGCGUACUGUUGGAUAUGUACGUUUAAGUUGGUAGGUGGGAAGUUUAGGCAAAUCCGGACUUCCUUAACACUGAGAGAUGAUGACGAGGCUCUACGGAGCUGAAGUAACUGAUACCACACUUCCAGGAAAAGCCACUAAGCGAAAGGCUUUACUAAACCGUACUGAAAACCGACACAGGUGGUCAGGUAGAGAAUACUCAGGCGCUUGAGAGAACUCGGGUGAAGGAACUAGGCAAAAUAGCACCGUAACUUCGGGAGAAGGUGCGCCGGCGUAGAUUGUAGUCCCUUGCGGAUGAAGGUUGAACCGGUCGAAGAUACCAGCUGGCUGCAACUGUUUAUUAAAAACACAGCACUCUGCAAACACGAAAGUGGACGUAUAGGGUGUGACGCCUGCCCGGUGCUGGAAGAUUAAGUGAUGGGGUGCAAGCUCUUGAUCGAAGUCCCAGUAAACGGCGGCCGUAACUAUAACGGUCCUAAGGUAGCGAAAUUCCUUGUCGGGUAAGUUCCGACCUGCACGAAUGGCAUAAUGAUGGCCAGGCUGUCUCCACCCGAGACUCAGUGAAAUUGAAAUCGCCGUGAAGAUGCGGUGUACCCGCGGCUAGACGGAAAGACCCCGUGAACCUUUACUAUAGCUUGACACUGAACAUUGAAUUUUGAUGUGUAGGAUAGGUGGGAGACUUUGAAGUAGUCACGCCAGUGAUUAUGGAGUCGUCCUUGAAAUACCACCCUUUAACGUUUGAUGUUCUAACGAAGAUUGCGAAACGCGGUCUCGGACAGUGUCUGGUGGGUAGUUUGACUGGGGCGGUCUCCUCCCAAAGCGUAACGGAGGAGCACGAAGGUUUGCUAAUCACGGUCGGACAUCGUGAGGUUAGUGCAAUGGUAUAAGCAAGCUUAACUGCGAGACAGACAAGUCGAGCAGGUACGAAAGUAGGUCAUAGUGAUCCGGUGGUUCUGCAUGGAAGGGCCAUCGCUCAACGGAUAAAAGGUACUCCGGGGAUAACAGGCUGAUACCGCCCAAGAGUUCAUAUCGACGGCGGUGUUUGGCA